Long non-coding RNA from Rosa rugosa (rugosa rose), 1914 nucleotides. RefSeq lists it as uncharacterized. The transcript is spliced from 4 exons. The record is from RefSeq and is a predicted model, not a curated record. Lineage: Eukaryota; Viridiplantae; Streptophyta; Magnoliopsida; Rosales; Rosaceae.
UCUAUCUACUUCCAGAUCGUGAACUGAGCCAGCAAGAUCAACAGCGGAAAAAGCUUGGUAGGGUAUUUGAGAACGGGGGAAGUAGAAAAAGAAGGAGAAGAGAAAAUAAACCGAGUGGAAGGUAUUUGUCGGAAUACAAUUUGUCGUCUUCUUCUUCUUCUUCGCCUACUGUUAUUACUGUCUCUCUUUGAAGUGAUCUAACUCUCAGAAUAUCUGUGUUUGAGGUAUGAGUUUCUUCUUUUGCUUGAUGUUAUUGAUGACGAUAGUUUAUAUACGGAUGAGGAGGAAUUAGUCUGAGUUUACCCAAUUCGUCUUUUUUGUGGGUUUGGAAAGGGAGGAAUGAGCCAUGGCCACGGGUUGGAAGCCAUUGACGUCUCCAUCUUCUUUCCGUUACCAAAUCUAGAAACUUGGGCUUUGGAAUUUAGAUUGAAAUCAAUUCAGUCUAAGGCUCUAAGGUAAGCUCAAACCCAUCCAUGGUGGUAAUUUCGAGGAUUGCCUAAUUAAGGUCUGAAAUUGGGGAAGACGAGAAGAAUGGAGCUGGAGUUUGGCUGCAGAUCCUUUAGGUGGGUAUUGAUCAAGGUCAUAGGCACGUUGGAGUGGGUACAGAGAACUAGCUUCUCAAAGGUUUAUUUGGAUAAUCAGCUCAAUUCAAGUUUCUGUGACAGUCUAAAGAGAAUCAAAGAGGGUCUACAUUGGAGGUUUUUAAAAAAUUGGUUGCAGGUACAACUCUCCUUUAAUGCUCUUAGAUAUUCAAUUUAUAUGUUGUUGGCUUCUCCAGUUCCGAAAUCUGUUAUUGGAUAUUCAUGUAUAAUUCUAUUUUAAUCCUCAAUGAAAAUUUGAAGGCUCUUCAUUGAUUUUUUUAGUCUAUGCAUUUUUCUUAUUUCUUUGCAGCUCUUACACUUUUUUUUUUUUUUUUGGCAAACUACAGCUCCUACAUUUUGAUUGUUAGUUCCCCAACAAUCUGUCCAAGUUGGAUUUGUUGCCAUGUUCAAGGGUUGCAGUUGGUGAUGGCUCUUAUUGGUGUGAGUCGGCUAAUUUUCAGAUACAUAUCUUUCUUCCUUCUCAUUUUGCACGAGGCUGCAAUAGUCGCAAGUUCAGAUGAGUUAGUGAAGGAAUUUUUGAAAGUUGCUCAAUUGCGUUGACAACAACGACACCCACCCUCACAGGUAUUAACAAAUCUAUUCACACAUUUAGAGCGCAUUCACCAUAGUUUGAAAACGCAUUAUCUAGAUUGAUUUGGCUUAUCUUUCAAUAUGGUUAAUCAGUAAAUGAAGCUACUUCUUCAUUUAGUAAUUUGGUGUCCAUAUACAUACGUAACUGUUAAUGAAUAUUUGAUAAAGCUCCUUUCAGUUGUUUAAUGCUUAUAUAUGGAUGACCUUUAAAAUGGUUAGUUCAUUAUUUGAUUAAUUAUUUGUUAGGUCUGCUUUGUUGUUUCGGUUUCAGCUGAUGGAUUUGGUCCCUUACUUGAUUUUUCGUUGCAAGAUGGAAUAUGAAAUGCUAAUAUUACAUACAGAAUGACCUAACUGUUUCUCUUUCACCUUAUUUUUAUUGGAUUGCAGCACUGGUUUUUCUCAUAAAUGCUUACUACUGUAAGCUUUUAUUGAAUUUCCUUGUAGAUCUGACAUUUGUGAUGGUCUUCAAUGUGACUGUGUUCAUAAUACCACCAUUCAUAUAUAUUGUUGUAUAAUUGCAAGUGCUUAAAAACAUGAAUAGAACACUAUUGUUCAAUAUAACCUAGUUUUUAGCUUCAGAUUUUACCCUCUAUGUGUCAACCAUGCAGAUAGAUGUUCAAUUUAUGAGCUCGAACCAGCUUUUACUACAGAAAUACAUAAUCAAUGUGAAUGAUAAUUGUUUGUUUUAAGUUUCUUCCCCGAGAGAAAUGUCAUUGCAAGUGGGUACUUUCUGGCUAACUUG